Salarias fasciatus (jewelled blenny) is the source of this 194-nucleotide long non-coding RNA. RefSeq lists it as uncharacterized. The record is from RefSeq and is a predicted model, not a curated record. The transcript has 3 exons. Lineage: Eukaryota; Metazoa; Chordata; Actinopteri; Blenniiformes; Blenniidae.
UACAAUGGAAGAGAAUCAGCACAAAGCUGGAUGGCUGUUCAGUUCACAUCCAGGCCUGGAAGCUCUUCAUCUGGCUCUCUGAUGAUCAUUCGGUGGAUUUGUGGAGUUUUACUGCUGAUUGUUCUGCUGCUGCUGUUGUGUUUCUACAAUGGAUCAAAAGAUUCAUGCUUCAACAGGUUGGUAUGAUCCUUUAC